AACGAACGCUGGCGGGCGUCUUACCCAUGCAAGUCGAGCGGCAGGCGCAAUGCCGAGAGCGGCGAUGGUGAGUAACACGUGGAUAACGUACCCCGCUGACCGGGACAGCCUGUAGAAAUAGAGGGUGAUACCGGAUAGAUCACUGUUUGCGAUAGGUAGACAGCGGGAAAGGAGCUUCGGCUCCGCAACGGGAUCGGUCUGCGGCCCAUCAGCUGGACGGCGGGGUAACGGCCCGCCGUGGCGAGGACGGGUAUCCGGCCUGAGAGGGCGGACGGACACAUUGGGACUGAGAUACGGCCCAGACUCCUACGGGAGGCAGCAGGUAAGAAUAUCCGCAAUGGGGGAAACCCUGACGGAGCGACGCCGCGUGAACGAAGAAGGCCGGAAGGUUUAAAGUUCUUUUCUGUCCGAGGAAUAAGUGUUGGAGGAAAUGCCGACACGGUGACGGUAGGGCAGGAAUA
RNAcentral lists this ribosomal RNA (461 nucleotides) under Treponema socranskii. RNAcentral describes it as "bacterial SSU rRNA". It matches the Rfam family "Bacterial small subunit ribosomal RNA", at positions 29 to 488 of the family's 1533-position model. The record is from RNAcentral. Lineage: Bacteria; Pseudomonadati; Spirochaetota; Spirochaetia; Treponematales; Treponemataceae.